Molecule: long non-coding RNA, 373 nt
Filed under: Carica papaya (papaya)
Lineage: Eukaryota; Viridiplantae; Streptophyta; Magnoliopsida; Brassicales; Caricaceae
Description: long non-coding RNA (CPAP_LNC001916)
Source: RNAcentral
CAAUCGGUUUAGAACAGAAUUUAGAUCACAAGUAAAAAGGAAUCAAAUUUGUUCAAUCACCCAAAUGAGUUAAAUGAAACCCAAGAAAGAUAGAUGAUAUCCCUUGAACCCAAUCCAAACAAGCACCAAGAACAAUUGAAAUAGGAAAUUAAAAUUGAAAUACAAGUGAUAACAAUUGUAUUCCAAAUCAACACAUUGUGCUUAAGUGAAAAGAAAGCCAAAACGCUCUCAACUCAAUUCUGAAAUAUUUGAUUACAACUCCUGAUAUCCACAAAGAAGAGUUCCUUUCAUAUUUAUAGUCAAAGAAAUCAAUAAUAAGUUACAAUACAAUAACUACAAUUAUAACUUCCACAAUAACUAAGCUAAUUAUGUG